Long non-coding RNA from Oncorhynchus gorbuscha (pink salmon), 476 nucleotides. RefSeq lists it as uncharacterized. Lineage: Eukaryota; Metazoa; Chordata; Actinopteri; Salmoniformes; Salmonidae. The transcript has 4 exons. The record is from RefSeq and is a predicted model, not a curated record.
CACCAACAGACAGACAGAGACCUGGAGGAUAAACAACACCAACCUGACCUGGGCGGUAUGGAGAGAGGUCCUAGCAGCAGCCAGGUGUGGAACCCCUCCUCUGUUAUCUGUAUGGACAGAGCAGAGCCCCCCCUGCUGACCUGGUGGUCCACCUGCAGGUCUGGGAUGGGGAGAGGAGGAAAACAUCAGUCCACUGGAGAGGAGUGGCCACCAUACAGGACCCUCGGCUGUUUCAAGGUCGAUGCCUGACUUACUGGCUACAGGCGUGUGACUGACAGCUCGAGUGUCGGCGGCAUGCUCUCGCGCUGUCCUGCUGUCAGUCACUCUGGAGAUGGGUUCUGCGCCAAGGCGACCGGAGCAGCAACAGCUGAAAGGAAGGACCUCUCAUCUCCAGCUGUUCUAGAGGUGUGGGUGUGACCGGUGCCCGACCCAGUGGUCCCCGACCAGAGACAUGAGUGUGGUCCGAGACCCACAGG